This 445-nucleotide ribosomal RNA is filed under the name uncultured bacterium. Its description in RNAcentral is "partial 16S ribosomal RNA". It matches the Rfam family "Bacterial small subunit ribosomal RNA", at positions 354 to 796 of the family's 1533-position model. The record is from RNAcentral.
GUGAGGAAUAUUGGUCAAUGGGCGAGAGCCUGAACCAGCCAAGUCGCGUGAAGGAAGAAGGAUCUAUGGUUCGUAAACUUCUUUUGUAGGGGAAUAAAGUGCGGGACGUGUCCUGUUUUGUAUGUACCCUGAGAAUAAGGAUCGGCUAACUCCGUGCCAGCAGCCGCGGUAAUACGGAGGAUCCGAGCGUUAUCCGGAUUUAUUGGGUUUAAAGGGUGCGUAGGUGGUUUGAUAAGUCAGCGGUGAAAGUUUGCAGCUUAACUGUAAAAAUGCCGUUGAAACUGUAGGACUUGAGUGUAAAUGAGGUAGGCGGAAUGCGUGGUGUAGCGGUGAAAUGCAUAGAUAUCACGCAGAACUCCGAUUGCGAAGGCAGCUUACUAAGCUACAACUGACACUGAAGCACGAAAGCGUGGGGAUCAAACAGGAUUAGAUACCCUUGUAGUCC